This 673-nucleotide long non-coding RNA is filed under the name Salvia miltiorrhiza (redroot sage). RNAcentral's name for it is "long non-coding RNA (SMIL_LNC001325)". The record is from RNAcentral. Lineage: Eukaryota; Viridiplantae; Streptophyta; Magnoliopsida; Lamiales; Lamiaceae.
CUCUCGGACGAUCUGUCCGCCGCCGCCGCCGUUCAACGGCGGUGCCCGCCGGACGGAGGCCGGCGUCGGCUCCUCUCAUCUCUCCCUGAACUCUCCCCCUCGCUUCUCCUAUAUCCCUCUCGCCUCUAUCGCUCAUCUCUCUAUCUCAAGACAGCCGGAACAAGGCGGCAGACAGCCACCUUCCACGAUGCGCCGCCGCCUGGUUCUCCUCUCCGGCGAAACGGCCGCCAUCUCCAUCUCUAUCUCCAUCUCUUCUAUUUCUCUCUCUACACGCCCUGACUCUCUCCCUCUCUACACUCUCAUACGCGCACGGACUCGGCGUAAGCCGCGCCGCCGCCGGAAACAAGACAGCAGACGUCCCACCGUGGUGCGCCGCCGCCUGAUCCUUCUUCUCAGUCGGAGCCACCUCCGCCUCACCUGAAAUCGGUAAACCCUAACUCCCUGUUCUCUUUUCCUUUUUAUUUUCCUCAUCUUCUUCAUUUUAAUUAAAAGCUGAAACCCUCUCCUCUUUCCCCUUUCUAGCAGAACAGAGCCAAGGCUCCGCUGCCUUCCGUUGACCAUCGGCAGCCCCGCGGCUGCCGCCCCCUAACCUCGAUUCACACACACACACAGCAGGGUUUCAAGCCAAGAUGCAGUCGAACACUUAGCAAAUAGGAUUUGAGCAUAAAUCAAA